CAGCCGCCGCGGGAAUACAGAGGGUGCGAGCGUUAAUCGGAUUUACUGGGCGUAAAGCGUGCGUAGGCGGCUUCUUAAGUCGGAUGUGAAAUCCCUGAGCUUAACUUAGGAAUUGCAUUCGAUACUGGGAAGCUAGAGUAUGGGAGAGGAUGGUAGAAUUCCAGGUGUAGCGGUGAAAUGCGUAGAGAUCUGGAGGAAUACCGGUGGCGAAGGCGGCCCCCUGGACAAAGACUGACGCUCAGGUGCGAAAGCGUGGGGAGCAAACAGGAUUAGAGACCCCCGUAGUCCCUGUCUCUUAUAA
This 301-nucleotide ribosomal RNA is filed under the name uncultured bacterium. Its description in RNAcentral is "partial 16S ribosomal RNA". It matches the Rfam family "Bacterial small subunit ribosomal RNA", at positions 509 to 809 of the family's 1533-position model. The record is from RNAcentral.